Molecule: ribosomal RNA, 253 nt
Filed under: uncultured bacterium
Lineage: Bacteria
Description: partial 16S ribosomal RNA
Rfam family: Bacterial small subunit ribosomal RNA
Source: RNAcentral
UACGGGGGGGGCAAGCGUUGUUCGGAAUUACUGGGCGUAAAGGGCUCGUAGGCGGCCAACUAAGUCAGACGUGAAAUCCCUCGGCUUAACCGGGGAACUGCGUCUGAUACUGGAUGGCUAGAGGUUGGGAGAGGGAUGCGGAAUUCCAGGUGUAGCGGUGAAAUGCGCAGAUAUCAGGAGGAACACCGGUGGCGAAGGCGGGUCUCUGGGCCGAUACUGACGCCGAGGAGCGAAAGCGUGGGGAGCGAACAGG